Long non-coding RNA from Coregonus clupeaformis (lake whitefish), 1387 nucleotides. RefSeq lists it as uncharacterized. The transcript is spliced from 2 exons. NCBI's taxonomy places the organism in Eukaryota, Metazoa, Chordata, Actinopteri, Salmoniformes, Salmonidae. The record is from RefSeq and is a predicted model, not a curated record.
UGUGUUUUCCAAAAUGUAAAUUUGUUUUCCAAAAUGUUAAUUUGUUUUCCAAAAUGUAAAUUUGUCUCGAGCUUUGUAAAAGUGUUUCAUUCUUUGUAAUGUUGCUUUGCACUUCCCGGCCACCGUAUAAUACAGCUAUUCUGCACUUUGUAACCUAAUGCAGCUAUUCUGCACUUUAUAACCUAAUGCAGCUAUUCUGCACUUUAUAACCUAAUACAGCUAUUCUGCACUUUGUAACCUAAUACAGCUAUUCUGCACUUUAUAACCUAAUACAGCUAUUCUGCACUUUAUAACCUAAUGCAGCUAUUCUGCACUUUGUAACCUAAUGCAGCUAUUCUGCACUUUAUAACCUAAUACAGCUAUUCUGCACUUUAUAACCUAAUGCAGCUAUUCUGCACUUUGUAACCUAAUGCAGCUAUUCUGCACUUUGUAACCUAAUACAGUUAUUCUGCACUUUGUAACCUAAUACAGUUAUUCUGCACUUUAUAACCUAAUACAGCUAUUCUGCACUUUAUUACCAAAUACAGAUAUUCAUGAUUUCCUUUUGAAGACAGCAGUAUAAGUCCACUGUGAAGUCCACUCUGAUAUGAAAAAUGUAUGCACUCACUAACUGUAAGUCGCUCUGGAUAAGAGCGUCUGCUAAAUGACUAAAAUGUCAAUGUAAUGUCCUCUGUGAUGUCCUCUUAGUGGACCCUACAGCAACACUGAGUGAGACUGUCAGUUCAGCCUCCCUCAUACCUCCCCACCUCACCCCACCGGCAUAACAAAACAGGUAACCACUGUGAUGGAAUUUCAAGAUCAUGAACAGACAGACAGACAGACAGACGGACACCUUGCUUGAGGCCCAGGGAAUCUAAUUAGCAGAUUAGCAUUUCCAGCUAAUCCGUUUAAACCACUGUCUCUGGCGUUGGCUAGAGGUGAACUGAUCUGUGUCUCAAACAGUAGUCCUAAAUAGCUUCCUAUAUCUUCAUCUCCUUUCCUUAGUGGCCUUUGGACCAUCAGAUGUAAUGAAGGAGGUGGGACAGAAUAGGAGUAUUGAGACACGUGCUAUAUGAUGGAUGCUGAGCUCCAGCCUAAAGGGUGGGUCCCGUAACCUGAAGCGCAGGCGAGAACACUGUUCUCCAGCCGUGAGGAACUAAUGUAGAGGCUUCAGCGUCAACAGCCCUGGCAUGUGAGCAUUACAGGAUUGUGAAGGACGGUACAAACCCCUGGAGGACCAUACGAGUAGUACAGAGAGGAACCACGGGAGCUGUCUCAACCCUUAUACAAGCUUGAAGGAAAUCUGGGCUGUCUUAGGCCUAGUCUUGGAGAGCUGUAUAAGGUACUGUUUAUCCAUGACCAAAUAUUCAUGUGAUGUCAAAAAAAAUAAAAAAUAAAGAUGAAGAUA